This 426-nucleotide ribosomal RNA is filed under the name uncultured bacterium. RNAcentral's name for it is "bacterial SSU rRNA". It matches the Rfam family "Bacterial small subunit ribosomal RNA", at positions 355 to 773 of the family's 1533-position model. The record is from RNAcentral.
UGGGGAAUUUUGGACAAUGGGCGCAAGCCUGAUCCAGCCAUGCCGCGUGAGUGAAGAAGGCCUUCGGGUUGUAAAGCUCUUUCGGCAGGAACGAAAUGGUUCGUGCUAACACCACGGACUGAUGACGGUACCUGAAGAAGAAGCACCGGCUAACUACGUGCCAGCAGCCGCGGUAAUACGUAGGGUGCAGGCGUUAAUCGGAAUUACUGGGCGUAAAGCGUGCGCAGGCGGUUUCUUAAGUCAGAUGUGAAAGCCCCGGGCUUAACCUGGGAACUGCGUUUGAAACUGGGAGACUUGAGUGUGGCAGAGGGGGGUGGAAUUCCACGUGUAGCAGUGAAAUGCGUAGAUAUGUGGAGGAACACCGAUGGCGAAGGCAGCCCCCUGGGUUAACACUGACGCUCAGGCACGAAAGCGCGGGGAGCAAAC